This 487-nucleotide long non-coding RNA is filed under the name Durio zibethinus. RNAcentral describes it as "long non-coding RNA (DZIB_LNC000730)". The record is from RNAcentral. Lineage: Eukaryota; Viridiplantae; Streptophyta; Magnoliopsida; Malvales; Malvaceae.
UAAAUCAAAAGAAAUCUAAGUCAAUAAAUGUUGAAAUGAUUUUAAUAACUAGUGUUUAUUUUUUUAAAUACUAACUAGUGCUUUUAGAUUAGUUAAUAUACUAUUUAUAAUAAUAUCUUCGUAUUACAUGCAAUAGUUGAUAGUAAAUGUGAUACUUACAAUGCAUAGGAUAAAGAUACUUUUUAAUAUAAAAAGAUUCAAGUUAUGAAUGAUAGAAUAACUAAGGUUAAUGUUAUGAAGGAAUGAUAGAAUGAUUGUCUUUCUGCGGCUUCCAACCUAAUUAUUCAUCUAUCCCAUCCGGGAUUCCCUUGGUUGGUAUAUCGUAUAGAAGAGAGGCUUUCCUCUUAGCAAUUAGGAGUGAUCCUUACCUCGAACUAUAAAUUGAAUAAAUUUCAUAAUAGAAGAAAAGGGCAGUGGAGGCACCCAUUGAUUUUGCACCUUCAUACAUCUCAAGUUGAGAAUUCUCGUAAUGAUCAGUGAAAAGAAA